Molecule: long non-coding RNA, 1134 nt
Filed under: Mustela putorius furo (domestic ferret)
Lineage: Eukaryota; Metazoa; Chordata; Mammalia; Carnivora; Mustelidae
Description: lncRNA (ENSMPUG00000029618.1)
Source: RNAcentral
UGGAAUGCUCACAUGCCUGGUGUCUCUUGAGACUCAGAUCUUGGACUCAGUCCUUUCAUCUUCAGAGGAACUUUCCAGAGCUCCUAGUCUCCACGUGCCAGCCUCAGGACUUUAUCACAGUAGCCUCUAAAUGUUCUUGUCUACUCAUUCGUGUGCUUUAAAUUUUCUGUUGAUGAGAUCACACACUCCAUGGAAACCAAGAUCUUGCCUAUUUUGUUCAUCACUGCCACCAGUUGCCUAAGCCAGUGUCUAGCACAGAGAGGGCAUCUGGAGAGUGUUUGUUAAAUGAAUAUGUGAUCGACAACAGUCACGAAGCAGCUACAUGGAGUGUUUAUUAACAGCCAACACUGUCCUGAUCCUUCACACGCAUUUUCUCACAAUUCUUCUCAGCAACUCAGAUUCCUCAAGGAAUGCUGAUUUGUCCCCAUUUUACAGAGGGUAGAGUGGAGACCAGGAAACGUGAGCCCUGCAGGCACACCGCGCCACAGCUAUGAUUUUCACUCAAGCCCAUCUGACUGGGAAGCCCCCAUUUGCAAGAGAUGGGGAAACUGGAAGAUGUGACCAUGCCUAUUCAUGACCCUAAGGGAUAAUGACAAUGUUCUCACUAAGGGACAAAGAACCAGGACAAGAAAGGUAACAGAACCACACCAGCCUCAGUUUCUCCGAGGACCUACGCAACAGUGGAGGCAUUGUCAUCUGUGUCCAAUUCCAAGAAAUGUUCAAGAAGGAAGAGCAGACUGACCGCCUGCACGUUUCUGAGGGAGUCCAUGGGAGGGCACCAGGGCAUAGCUUGUUCUGGAACCCCGGCGAGGCGGCGCUGCUGUCAUUUGGUCCGGCCACAUUCUCAAGAUCCAGGCUUCACAGUUACCAGUUCUGAGAGUGGGGAGACUUGGUUACCUGCCAUCGUGAGACCCGUUUGGAACCCUGGAACUCUGGGACCCACCGCAGCCACCAGGCCAAGCUCCUCACCCAACCCUUGAAACCAAACCAAAAAGCAGAAUAUGCCUUCCUCCACUUCUUAAACAUGUUUGUAGUGGGAAACUGGAUGCAAAUGAACAGAAUGGCUCAGUAUGGAUAUGGGCAUAUGUUUAUUAAAAAAAAAUAAAAUAAAAUAAAGCUGGUAAGACAAGGCAU